Molecule: ribosomal RNA, 489 nt
Filed under: uncultured bacterium
Lineage: Bacteria
Description: bacterial SSU rRNA
Rfam family: Bacterial small subunit ribosomal RNA
Source: RNAcentral
GAUGAACGCUAGCGGCAGGCCUAACACAUGCAAGUCGAGGGGUAACAGGAAAAAGCUUGCUUUUUUUGCUGACGACCGGCGCACGGGUGCGUAACGCGUAUAGAACCUACCUUUUACAGGGGGAUAGCCUUUAGAAAUGAAGAUUAAUACCCCAUGGUAUUAUUGAUUCGCAUGGAUUAAUAAUUAAAGAUUUAUCGGUAAAAAGAUGGCUAUGCGUCCUAUUAGCUAGAUGGUGUGGUAACGGCACACCAUGGCAACGAUAGGUAGGGGCCCUGAGAGGGGGAUCCCCACACUGGUACUGAGACACGGACCAGACUCCUACGGGAGGCAGCAGUGAGGAAUAUUGGGCAAUGGAGGCAACUCUGACCCAGCCAUGCCGCGUGCAGGAAGACUGCCCUAUGGGUUGUAAACUGCUUUUAUACAGGAAGAAACAGUCCUACGUGUAGGGCCUUGACGGUACUGUAAGAAUAAGGAUCGGCUAACUCCGUG